Molecule: ribosomal RNA, 497 nt
Filed under: uncultured bacterium
Lineage: Bacteria
Description: partial 16S ribosomal RNA
Rfam family: Bacterial small subunit ribosomal RNA
Source: RNAcentral
GAUGAACGCUGGCGGCGUGCCUAAUACAUGCAAGUCGAGCGAACAGACGAGGAGCUUGCUCCUCUGACGUUAGCGGCGGACGGGUGAGUAACACGUGGUUAACCUACCUAUAAGACUGGGAUAACUUCGGGAAACCGGAGCUAAUACCGGAUAAUAUAUUGAACCGCAUGGUUCAAUAGUUAAAGACGGUUUUGCUUUCACUUAUAGAUUGAUCAGGACCGCAUUAGCUAGUUGGUAAGGUAACGGCUUACCCAGGCAACGAUGCUUAGCCGACCUGAGAGGGUGAUCGGCCACACUGGAACUGAGACACGGUCCAGACACCUACGGGAGGCAGCAGUAGGGAAUCUUCCGCAAUGGGCGAAAGCCUGACGGAGCAACGCCGCGGGAGUGAUGAAGGUGUUCGGAUCGUAAAACUCUGUUAUUAGGGAAGAACAAAUGUGUAAGUAACUAUGCACGUCUUGACGGUACCUAAUCAGAAAGCCACGGCUAACUACGUG